UACGAAGGGGGCUAGCGUUGCUCGGAAUCACUGGGCGUAAAGCGCACGUAGGCGGCUUUCUAAGUCAGGGGUGAAAUCCUGGAGCUCAACUCCGGAACUGCCUUUGAUACUGGAGAGCUUGAGUCCGGAAGAGGUGAGUGGAACUCCGAGUGUAGAGGUGAAAUUCGUAGAUAUUCGGAAGAACACCAGUGGCGAAGGCGACUACCUGGCCUGUUCUUGACGCUGAGGCGCGAAAGCUAGGGGAGCAAACGGG
Molecule: ribosomal RNA, 253 nt
Filed under: uncultured bacterium
Lineage: Bacteria
Description: partial 16S ribosomal RNA
Rfam family: Bacterial small subunit ribosomal RNA
Source: RNAcentral